Molecule: ribosomal RNA, 900 nt
Filed under: Weissella cibaria
Lineage: Bacteria; Bacillati; Bacillota; Bacilli; Lactobacillales; Lactobacillaceae
Description: bacterial SSU rRNA
Rfam family: Bacterial small subunit ribosomal RNA
Source: RNAcentral
GAUUUGAAGAGCUUGCUCAGAUAUGACGAUGGACAUUGCAAAGAGUGGCGAACGGGUGAGUAACACGUGGGAAACCUACCUCUUAGCAGGGGAUAACAUUUGGAAACAGAUGCUAAUACCGUAUAACAAUAGCAACCGCAUGGUUGCUACUUAAAAGAUGGUUCUGCUAUCACUAAGAGAUGGUCCCGCGGUGCAUUAGUUAGUUGGUGAGGUAAUGGCUCACCAAGACGAUGAUGCAUAGCCGAGUUGAGAGACUGAUCGGCCACAAUGGGACUGAGACACGGCCCAUACUCCUACGGGAGGCAGCAGUAGGGAAUCUUCCACAAUGGGCGAAAGCCUGAUGGAGCAACGCCGCGUGUGUGAUGAAGGGUUUCGGCUCGUAAAACACUGUUGUAAGAGAAGAAUGACAUUGAGAGUAACUGUUCAAUGUGUGACGGUAUCUUACCAGAAAGGAACGGCUAAAUACGUGCCAGCAGCCGCGGUAAUACGUAUGUUCCAAGCGUUAUCCGGAUUUAUUGGGCGUAAAGCGAGCGCAGACGGUUAUUUAAGUCUGAAGUGAAAGCCCUCAGCUCAACUGAGGAAUUGCUUUGGAAACUGGAUGACUUGAGUGCAGUAGAGGAAAGUGGCACUCCAUGUGUAGCGGUGAAAUGCGUAGAUAUAUGGAAGAACACCAGUGGCGAAGGCGGCUUUCUGGACUGUAACUGACGUUGAGGCUCGAAAGUGUGGGUAGCAAACAAGAUAGAUACCCUGGUAGUCCACACCGUAACGAUGAGUGUAGGUGUUUGAGGGUUCCGCCCUUAGUGCCCAGCUACGCAUUAACACUCCCCUGGGGAGUCCACCGCAGGUUGAACUCAAGGAUUGACGGGACCCCACAGCGGGGACAUGUGUUUAUUCGAGCAC